UACAGAGGUGGCAAGCGUUGUUCGGAAUUACUGGGCGUAAAGGGCGCGUAGGCGGCCUUCUAAGUCAGACGUGAAAUCCCCAGGCUCAACCUGGGAACUGCGUCCGAUACUGGAUGGCUUGAAUCCGGGAGAGGGAUGCAGAAUUCCAGGUGUAGCGGUGAAAUGCGUAGAUAUCGGGAGGAACACCAGUGGCGAAGGCGGCUCACCUGGACCGGAACUGACGCUGAGGCGCGAAAGCGUGGGGAGCAAACAGG
This 254-nucleotide ribosomal RNA is filed under the name uncultured bacterium. RNAcentral describes it as "partial 16S ribosomal RNA". It matches the Rfam family "Bacterial small subunit ribosomal RNA", at positions 524 to 776 of the family's 1533-position model. The record is from RNAcentral.